AGCUUUAUCCUUAGAGAAAAACAUUCCCCACCUCUACUACAUCAAAUAAAUUUAAUACUCGUACUUAUUUGAUUUUUCUACAACAAUUUGAAUUUCUUAGACUUUUAAAAGUUUCAUCCUUAGUUCUAAGUAAGUAAACAUAUGCUUUCAUUCACAAUUACUCCCUUGGAAGUAGAAAUAUAGUAGUGAUGAAGAUAAGGUCUGACCUCUCUCUACACCUACAUCCACCAUAGAUCUUAUCAAAACAAACCCUCUGGACAUAAUGGCACUAGAUACGGCCAAAGUCAACCAUCAAUCCCCAAUAUGAACUACUUAAACGCCUUUGCGCAGACAGUACCAUCAAGUAGCCCCACUGCCUGUCCACCGGACAAACCUACUGAAACAAUGGAGGUGGACAUGACUCACGAGGAAGAAAUGCUUCAGGAUGUACCAAGCAAUAGUACGAUUGUGCUAAUGGCGAAAGACAAAGUACGGAUCCAUAGACUAUGUUCCUACUCGGUCAUAAUUAAAUUAACGAGGAAAAAAGUCAACCACGCCUACCUAAAGCAUCAAUUAAACAAAUUGUGGAAACCAUUGGAGAAUUAAUAAUCAUUGAUUUGGGCAAUGACUAUUUCAAAGUCAAAUUCCUCAAAGAUAUGAACAUGCUCACAACCCUCCAAAAAAAUCAUGGUUCAUAAAUGCAGCUUUCUUUCGGUUAGGAAAUGGCACCCUAACUUUGUGGCAUCGGAAGCACAUAAAAAUGUCUCUGCAAUUUGAAUUCGCCUACCGAAACUAACCACAGAGUACUAUGACCACUUAAUCCUACCAAAAAUAGGUAGCAAAUUGGGAAAAUUGGUCAAGACAGACAUAUGCACCUCAGCUAGACUUAGAGGACGAUAUGGCCAAAUAUGCAUCGAGGUACCCUUAGAAACUCCAGUAAAAACCCACAUCUAUAUUGGAAGACUAAAAUAACAAAUUCUGUAUGAGGGUGUCUAUAUUUUGUGUACCAAGUGCGGCAUGAUAGGACGUACAUGUGUCCUGUUGAAAUCACCAUACCAUUCCUGCAGUGACCCCUCCGGAUAAAGCUAUGGUCACCACAAAGGAAGUAUGUGCACAACAAAAUAAAAUCAAUAAAGAUGAUUGGCAAGUGGUCCAAUUCAAAAAAUGCCUUAACAACAGAAAAAUUAAGCCAGUUCAAUAGGGUGUCCACGAAGGCCCAAGCACGAAGAGCCCCUCUCAACCUAGGGGAAAACCAUGGCACACCACCCACCCAGUGUAAAUGCAGGUAAGUUACUUGACCAUCAGAUCAAUUAAUAUGUACCCAAAUCUACGGAUGUUUGUACUGCUAGUUGCUCGGAUAGAUAUGCCCAAUUCGUCCAAAAAAAUAUGCUUACAAAAUCAACGAAAGAUACCAUGAUCCAAAUUCUUCUGCUUUCCAAAGUAGAAAAAAAGAGCAUGAUGUCAUAAGUGACAGGCUGGAAAGCAAGGUAGAAAAAAUUAUCAUCAUGCCCUUAAAAAGGUGCACAGUAAGUGAACCCAUAAAAAAUGAAGGGCUUACAAUGGCCCCUAGUGGAAGUCUAGGAGCACAGACACGUCACGUCCUACUGUGACCUCCCACUGUCCCAAUAAAAAUGUGCCACGUCAAAACUCCUUAAACGUGGACAAUCAAACUACCUCUAAUAAUAUAAGCCAAAAUAACACUUUUAGCGAAACAUCCUUAUUAAAACAUACUAAAAAAAGUAACAAAAUUCAAAGUACAACAUUACUAGAUUUAGGGAAGGGGCCCACAAUAUAUCCUCAAUCUCCUACUUCUAAUAUCCCUGGACCUUCACAAACUACGAUAAAUAUUAUCUCCAUAAGUAACAUUAAUAAACCCAUCAAACCUUCUAUAAAUACCAAGAAUACCCAGAUGUUCAAGAAAACCGUCGAGCUCACAGAAGAAACUCCCAAACACAACCUACAAUGAAUUCGCUGAACCUAAAUACAACCCAAAUCUACCUCCCACAUAUUCACCUCUACCCAGUAUCAGGUACAAUAUCAUAGGUAGAGAUGGUCUUACUAGGUCAAGCCUUCAUAAUGCAUGUAUAUAUGGAAGAAAGGGAAGCCAUGUUCAUCAUCAGCACGCUGGAGCUACUGGAUCAGGGGGGGGGAGGGAAGGGAUGAGGAGAGUGAUGGAGUUGUACAACAGCCAUGUUUGGAUGUCUACUCUACUACAAUAUUUCAUGAACUUCUCAGUCCUAACCAUCCUUUUCUUUUACAUACCGACGUGGGAAACUCUAACAGCCCCCAUGGCACAGAUCCCUCCACCAUAAAUAACCCAGUCAACACCACCAUACUUUUUGACCUACCACAAAUUCAUAGAUAUCGACCCACUAUACUACCAUCGGCAGUUGCAAGGGUCGACCAUGGGGGAGGUUUCACUGCAGAACCAACCGACUCCGAGUAGGCCACUGGAGAAUCAGGCAGUCCCAACAGUCAACAAUGUAGCCUCGUCCUCCCAUGUACUACCCAAUAUCACUUUAACUCAUCCAAGACUAGUGAUUACCUUACUCAGGAAAUAGAGGAUACAUUAGAGAUAAUACGAGAAAUAAGAAUCAAAAUAACUGUGUUAAAGGAUAUAAAAGCAAUGGUAUUCAAUGACAAGUACGCCAUGAAAUUCAUCCUUAUCUAUCCCCAAAACUUAAUAAGGACAUACCUAGACAUCCGUUGACCUUUCAACCCCCAGGUGGGGAAUUCUGUCCUGGUCAUGAACCCAACAGUGAUGAACCAAACUUUUCCUUUGACAAAUACCUCAAGAGCAGCUCCGUUGAUCAACCCACCACAAAGGAACAUAUCCAUGAACAUCAUAAUAUGAAACUGUAGAAGGGAAAAUGGUCAGGAUUUUAGAAAGAACUUUAGAUCCUUAGUAGACUGGCACAAACCGCCUUUUGUUGCCCUACUAGAGACUAAGAUGCAAGACAACCAGUUGCUACUCAAUGACUUCCCUUUUAAUAGGAUCAUUGAGGUUACAGUAAUUGAAAAUGCAGGUGGGCUAACUGUUAUGUGGGAUGACUCUCUCCUAAAACUAGAUGAAAUCGCCACUACAGACCAGAAAAUUCAUGCUAUAGUUAAGGUAAGACAAAAAAAUGACAUGUGGUUGUUUAGCUGUAUUUAUGCUAAUACAUUCAUAUGUAAACGCAAGAUACUAUGGCAAAAUCUCCAAAAUAUCAAGGAUAACUUCCCAGGUAAGUGGUUGAUAGGAGGAGACUUAAUGAACUCUUGUCAAACUCAGAAAAGAAAGGAGGUAAGUUAAUUAAUCAAACACGAUCAUCAGAAUUUCAACAUAUGAUAAAUUAUUGUGAAUUCAUAGUUAUGUGCUAUAAAGGUAUUAAAUAUACCUAGUUAAACAGAAUAUUCAAAAGUCAUAAUGCUUUGAUUUUAGAGAGGUUGGGCAGAUUCCUUGCUACUAAUGAUUGACUGGUUAGUUAUCCUAAUGCCCAUGUCAUUUAUCUUCCACGUACCCAUUUCGACCAUUGUCCUCUCCUAUUGACCCUGUUUAAAGAUGAGCAAAAUCUGCGGAAGUGCUUCUUUAAAUUUAAAAAAUAUGGACGACUCACCCGAAUUAUAUUAACGUCAUUUAUCAUGUAUGGAGGAACAACCCUCCACUAGAAGAAGCAGUAACAACUUUUGAAGAAGAACCAUUUUCAUGGGCAUGCAAGAAUAUAAGGAACAUCUUUAGGAAAAAAGAUAAGCUUCUUCGUAGAAUCCAGGGAAUCCAAAGUUCCCCAAACUAUCAUCACAACAUGUUCCUUAUCAAUCUAGAAAAAAACCUCAUACGUGAUUUUAACAACAUUCUUAGGAUGGAAGAGGACUUCUGGAAGCUUAAUUCCAGAAUAACUUGGUUGAACGAGGAUGACGCUAAAAUAAAAAAAUUUCACACUUCGACGUCAAUUAGAAGAAGUAAAUAUAAAAUAGUAUCCUUAAAACUGGACAAUAACUCUUACAUAAAUGAGCAAUCGGAUAUAGUAAACCAUAUUCUAGAUUUUUUCAAGGACCUGUUUAAAUCCAACCAUCACAAAUCCUUCAGAGUCGUAGUUCCUAAAGCUAAAGUAUGCCUCUCCGAAAUAGAUAAACUGGACCUGGGGAGAGUGCCCUCUGAAAAUGAAGUUCGAGAGGCUGUUUUCUCUUUUCAACCCUUUAAAGCCCCUGAUGGCUUACACCCAUACAUCUACCUAAAAUAUUGGUAUAUUGUAAGUCAGUCUGUUUUUUCCUUCUGCAAUAGAGCCUUUAUGGAAUCCAAGAUUAACCCAAGUACCAAAUCAACACAUAUAUGUCGUAUUCCUAAAAGUCCUAAUGCACAGACUCUCAAAAGUUACCGCCCUAUCAGUCUAUGUAAUACUUCUUAUAAAAUAUUCAUGAAAAUAAUCUCCAGAAGACUGCAUCCCAUCAUGGAUAAAAUCAUCGAGCCCUAUCAAACUAAUUUCCUUAAAAAUAGACAAGCCACUGACAAUGUUAUAGUCAUACAAGAAAUAAUCCGACAUUUCAAAAAAAUGAAAGGGAAAAAAGGCAAUGUCAUUACGAAAAUAUACUUAAAAAAGGGUUUUGAUAAGAUGGAAUAGCCGUUCAUAAGACAUACCUUACAUUACUUUAACUAACCCAAAAACAACAUAGACCUUAAAUGUCAUGUAUUUGUACUAGCUCAGUAUCAGUCUUAGUCAAUGGUACGAGGACUGAAUUUUUAGCCCCUCGAGAGGGAUUUGCCAGGGAAAUCCCAUAUCGCCGUACAUUUUUAUUCUUUGCAUGAAAGUCCUGUCCCAUAACAUAAAUCGGGACCUCAACAAUAAUAUGUGGAACCCUAUAAAAAUUAGCAGGACGGGCCCAUACCUGUCCCAUCUAUUCUUUGCUGAUGACUUAGUACUAAUGUCUACGACUGAUAGGAGCAAAUGCAUAAAUAUCGAAGGAACCCUCUACAAUUUUUGCACCUGGUCCGGGCAAAGCAUCAAUUAUGGUAAAUAAAAAAUCCUUUUCUCAGAUAAUUGUGAUGAAAGUAACAAAAGUACUAUUUCUUCUAUCCUUAGUAUCAAAUUAUGUACGAAUUUUGGGAAAUACUUGGGGUUUUCUAUUUUUAAUUCUAAGCCCAGUGCCAAAGAUUUCAAUUCAUCAACGAUAACCUUAAGAAAAAACUUUUGGGAUGGAAAGCAAAUUUCUUAAAUAUUGUUGGGCGCACUACCCUUACAAAAUAUUGCCUUAAUAAUAUCCCUACCCACAUAAUGCAAUAUAAUAAGCUCCCUCAAACAGUCGUCAAACAGAUCGAUAAAAUUCAGCGGGACUCUGUCUGGGGAACUAACACUACCGAAAAAAGAAUGCACUUUGUGGGCUGGGACACCCUUGUCAAACCUAAAAACAAGGGAGUCUGGGUUUUCAAAAAACUAAUACUAAAAAUAAAGCUCUUCAUGCAAAGUUGGCACGGAGAAGCCAAAAUCUCUAUGGUCUUCUGUUCUUCUAGCCGAGUAUACUAGUAAUAACAACCUUGAGGGGAUUAGUCACAAUACCAGAAACAAUAGUAGUACUUGGAAAAAUGUCAUUAAAGGAUAGAGGGUAUAUGGAACGAUACUUGUUUGUCCUUCAAGUCCCCUCUGAGGAACUCAAUCCAUACUGCUUUGAACUUGGGGGAGGAAAACUUACCUGUUGAAACACUAAUAAAGAAUGGAACAUGGGAUCUUUCCUCCUUAGGAUAUGACCUUCCGGAGGGCAUAACUGCCACCAUAAAGGCUACUAUUAUAUCGAAAAAUCUUAAUUUGAGCGACAAACUCAGGUGCACCUUAGCCCCUGGGAAAUGGUUUUCUACAGGCCUAGCGUACUAUCAUAUUCUAGCAAAAAAUCUUAAUGUUGCUGAUCCCAUUGCUGUCUUUAAAUAGGUUUGGAAAUUGAAGUGCCCCAAUAAGAUAAAGUUUUUUAUUUGGUUGUGUUACCACAAAAUGCUCCCGACUAAAGCCUCACUAAGUCACAUAGGCAAAAAAGUGGAACCCAAUACAACAUCUGCAACGCAACCGAAACCAUAGAUCACAUCUUCCGAGAAUGCCCUAUGGCACUCCAGUUCUUGUACAAUAACAACUUGUUUUCAAUCAUUCAACUCUUAAAAGAUUUAUCCUUUAUUGAUUGGCUUGAUAAAAUUAGGAAAAUGUCUAACGUACGAAUAGGGAGCUACAUGCUUUGGAGUGAGGUAUUUCUUUUCUAACUUUGAAACAUCUGGUUGACUAGAAACGAUAAUUUGUUUAGUAAUAGAAGUAAUCUCAUACCCACAAACCUUUCAUAAAACAGGGCCUUGGAGUUCCAUUUACUAACUAGUACCCACAGGUCCACCAAACAAAAUACAAUUGAACAAUGGCUACCCCCUACGGAAGGAUGGAAGUUGAAUAUUGAUGGCUCUUUUGGCCAUAACACUAGGAGAGGGAGAGCGGGAGGAUUACUACGUGAUAACAAAGGAAAUUGGAUUAAAGGUUUUCGGGAUAGCAUUAGUGCGAAUUCGCCACUUGAAGCCGAGACAACUGCUCUAUAUCUGGGUUUAUGAUUAGCUAUUCAGCUGAAGUGUGAAAAAUUGAUUAUUGCUACUGAUUCUCAAUCCUUAGCUUCACUUUGCACAGAUAAACCUGAGAUCGAUGACAGUCUUAUUGUUUUGUGCAGGGAUCUUCUUCGAAUGCUGGGGAACCCGCGGGUAUGCCAUGAAGGAAGGACUUGUAAUAGAGCUGCGGACAAGCUAGCUAAGGCGGGUAGAAGGAUGAAAACAAAUCAGCUUUUUGAGGAAUGGUCAGUUCUUCCCUUAUUUAUUGUAGGACUAUUGAAAUAGAUAAAAAAGAAACUUCUUUUGCAGGGUCUAGUGAACCCGUAGUACCAAAUGUUUGUACUAAAAGUAGUGACUAUGGACACUCUCUAUCGCCUUUCUUGAACGCAGCUUUGUAUAAUGCAUAUUAAUAUUAAAUAAAAUCUCCUUUUAACCAAAAAAAAAAAAAGUAAAUAAACAUAUAUAAAUCUAGAGAAGUCAUCUAUAAAAAAAAAUUAAAAUUAUCUUUUGCUUCAUCUAAUUAAUUUAUCAUUUAAUUCACAUAUGCCCAAAUGUGUUAGAUUUAACAAUUCUGUAUUAAUCCACUACAUUGCAACAACUUUUAUUGGUUUUGAAGCUGUAAAUAUUAAAAAGUAGAUAAAAGAGACCAGCUGUAAUUUGGAGGGAGUUGAAAAAAAUAUUUGAACCGUUGAGCUCAGGUAAUUCCAAAGUUGAGUGUAAAACAAUUGCUUUAAGCCUAAAAAAAUGAAGAUGCCAAAUGAGCCAAAUCAUUUUUUACUUCAAAAUAGAUUUGAACAAUUUAAAUAUAUUAAAUUAUUAAUAUUAUACUUAAUGGUAAAAGUUUAAAAUUGCUAGACAAAUGAGAAUUUGAAACAUAUACCAAUCAUUUUUUAUUUCCAAACAAAUCUCUAUAAUCUAAAAUGUAUGGAAUUGUUUUUAACAUUUUAUUGAAUGGUGACAAUUUGAAAUUACUGCACAAUGAGCAUUUGAAAAAUAUUAUCUUAAUCUUGAAUGUUUCCUAAAACACUAUACAAGUAUUUGUGAAUGGUAGGGAUAUGCACAAGAUGGCUGCAACACCGCCAUUACAAAUAAAUUCAAUUUAAAAACACGUCAUAAUUUUUUUUUAUAAAAUUUCAAACUCAUAUUGAAGUUUGGUUUAUAAAGUUUCCUUGUUAUUGACAUAAUAAAAAAAAAAUAGUCUCACAUAAAUAAUGUUAGUUAUGUGAUUCACAAAAUAAAAUUUUUCGAUACAAAAUAUAAAAUUUCUCUACUUCAUCUAGUUUGGGUAGUAUUGAGAAGGAAGAUUUGUAGUAUUGAGAAGGAAGAUUUUACUAAUUUGUAUAGUAUCUUUCAAAUACAGUUUCUUUUACAAAGAUAUUUUCUUGAAGACUAUUGUCCAACAUUAUAUUAAUUGUGAUUGUCUUGCGCAUAUACUUUUAUUACAUAACCAUAUUUAAAUAAAGUAGCACUUAUGAGCUGAUACCAAAAAAUUUUUUUGAGCUGUGUAACACCACAUAAUACUCUAUAACUAGCUCGGUUUAAUCUAAUGAUUUUUUUUGAAGUAACGUGUGUAGUCAAGGUGUUAUGAACUCACUCGACGGUAAUUAAUGGCAUGUUGAAAAUAUGUUAAGGGACAUAUAAUAUGGUUUGACAUUAGUUGAAGCAAUAGGAUGACUUAAAAUAUUCAAAACGAACAAGAUAAAACGUAUCAGAACCCAAUCGUAGCUUGAGUCAUAUGAGCAAGCUAAUGAAUGAUUUUAAAAAACAUUAUGUGAGUUAGUUAUUUAUAUUAUGAAUUAUACAAACCUUUCCAUAUUGACAAAACUUUAGUAAAAUUUUUGGGAAGAUCGAACUUGUGGUUGGAUAUUGAAUUUAUAUUGAAUUUUAUGACUCAAAAUCAAUUUAAAUCACAUUCUUAGCCAUGAAAUUAGAAUUAAUGAGAUGACUCAACUUAUUUCCCACGAAUUGCUAUGAAACUCACAAAUUAGAAAGUUUAAGCAAAUCUUUUCGAGUCAAAGUGAAUAAAAUUAUAAUCUUUGGUCAUUGGCGCAAUUGAAACCAAUCUUUAUGUAAAUUGUGAGCUUAUGAAUCGGGACAAUUUAAAGAAAGUACGAAAUUGAAGUUACGCUUGUAUCCCUAGGUAAGUUAAAACUUACUUAAUAGAAGUGAUUUUAGUAACACUCAUGUCCCUUGUGUGUUCAAUGAAAUAUUAAAGGGAACUUUAGUGACUAUAUUGUAGGAACAAACGAGUGCUUAAUCCAUUUUUUUACUCAAUCAACAACAACAUACUUAGUGUAUUCCCACAUAGUGGGAUCAAAGGAGGGUAAAGUGUAUGCAGGUUAUACCACUACCUCAGGUGAAGUAGAGAGGUUGUUUCCGACAGACUGUGGCUCAAGACAACUAACAAUAUAACAAAUACAAAAAUAUAUAAACUAAUACAGUAUGCAAAAUAAACUAACACUGCUAGCUAAUAUAGGAAACAAUACAACCCCAAGAUAAUACUCUAAACUAUCUAUCCGAAAUCAUAGACAUCACUCAAACACCAAGAACAAUAACUUCAGACGCAAACAAAGUACUUUUCCCUAUUGUUACAGAUGCACUCCUACCCCCUAACUAUCUACCCUAAUCCAUGUCUUCCACACCUUCCUAUUAAGGGUCAUGUCUUCCGUAAGCUAUAAAUACUCUAUAUCAUGCCUAAUCACCUCCCUCCAAUGUUUACUCGGCCUACCUCUACCCCGCCUAAAACCAUCUAUUGUCAGCCUCUCACACCUAUGUACUAGAGCAUCCGAUCCCCUCAUCAUCACGUGUCUAAACAAAUGUAAUCUCACUUUUCGUAUCUUGUCCUCAUCUGAAGCCACUCCCACCUUCUCCCGAAUAAUCUCAUUCCUAACCCUAUCUUUCCUGGUAAGGACACACAUCCAUCGCAACAUCCUUAUGUCCACCACCUUCAACUUUUGAAUGUGGAAGUUUUUAACUGGCCAACACUCUACUUCAUACAACAUAGUCGGUCGGACUGUCACUCUGUUGAACGUACCUUUAAACUUCGUAGGCACUUUCUUAUCACACAAGACUCCCGAAGCGAGCCUCCAUUUCAACCACCUUGCACCAAUAUGGUGUUUGAUAUCCUCAUCAAUCUCACUGUUCACCUGAAUCAUAUACCCUAGAUACUUGAAACUCUCCCCCUUUUGAAUGGUCCGAGAAUCUAGCUCCACUACCACUUCAACCUCCUGCGAUAAAUCACUAAACUUACAUUCCAAGUACUCUGUCGUGGUCCUUCUUAAUCAAAAUUCUUUAGAAUCAAGGGUCUAUCUUCAAAUCUUUAACUUAUCAUCAAAUUCUCUCCGAGUCUCGUCAAUCAGUAUCAUAUCAUCAGCAAAUAACAUACACCAAGACACCUCCCUUUUUAUGUCACGUUAAAACAUUCAUCACCAAGGCAAAUAAAAAAGAGCUAAGUGUUGAUCCCUGGUGAAACCCUGUCAAAAUGGAAAAGUGCUCCGAAUCUCCACCUACUGUCCUCACACGAGUCUUCAAUCCAUCAUACAUGUCCUAAAUCAACCUAGUGUAUGCUACAGACACCCCUCUAGCCUCCAAGAAUCUCCACAGAAUCUCCCUGGAGACUUUGUCAUAUGUUUUCUAAAGUUUAAUGAACACCAUGUGCAAGUUCUCCUUCCUCUUCCUAAAUUGCUCCACUAAUCUCCUCACGAGGUGAAUGACCUCAGUAGUCGAAUGACCUAGCAUGAAACAUGACUAAUUCUCUAAAAUAGUCAUAAUCCUCCUCAGCCUCAACUCUACCACCCUUUCCCAAACCUUCAUAGUAUGACUCAACAGCUUGAUACCCCUAUAAUUGUUGCAACUCUGAAUGUCCCCCUUGUUCUUAUAUAAUGGAAUUAUCUUACUCCACCUCCAAUUUUCAGGCAUCUUUGCUGCCCUAAAAAUAAUAUUAAACAACUUUGUCAGCCACUCCAAACUUGCCUGGCCCACAGGUCACCCUAUCCCUACACAUUCUGAAAAUAGCCCCCGAGACACCCUCGACCUUGAGACGCCUACAAUAACUAUAAUCGCGACACCUCUCAGAAUUCUCCAAUUCCCAUAUAAAACCUUUAUCCCUCUCGUCAUUCAAAAUUUUAUAGUAAUAGGACUGCCACCUCUUCCUAAUAAGGGCAUCCUUAACCAACAAUGUACUAUCCCCCCUUGAUGCACUUCACUUAGUCAAGGUCACGAGCCCUCCACUCCCUGGCCUUGGCAAGCUUAUACAACUUUUAUCCACAUAUUUCUCCUCUAAAGUCGCAUACAAGCUCUCAAAAGUUGUUGUCUUAGCCGUUGUAACCGCUAACUUAGCCUCUCUUUGAGCUACCUUAUACUCCUCCUGCCUCUAUUUAUUAUUCUUUCUCUCAACCAACUUAGCAUAAGCCACCUUAUUAGUCUCCACCUUCCUCUUGACUUCUUUAUUCUACCACUAGUCCCCCCGAUGGUUGCCAGAUCAGCAUCUCGAGACAUCCAACACCUCUCUAGCGGUCUCCCUAAUACAACUAGCAGUCGUCUCCCACCAAUUAUCCAUAUCCCCUCUACUCUCCCAGGCCCCUUAGUCGUCAACUUCUCCUCCAUAUAAUAUAUGUGAUGUAUGUUACUAUAUGUAACUUUCAUGCAAUUUGUCUCAAUUUUUAGAAAACAUAUAUGCUUAUGUAUAUUACUACUUGCUAUAUGCAAUGAUGCUUAUUGUUAAGCUUAAACUAAUGUGAUCACAUUUUUAAAUGUGAGCUAGUUGAACUCCCUGAAACAUGAGUUCCACAAAGGUCAAGAUUGGCUACCUUACAUUUGUAUGAUCUACUUAUUUGUGGUAAGAGAUAGGUCGAAACUCCCCCUUGUAUAAUGAUUGUUCCACACAGGGGCAGAGCCUGCCUUUGGCAUAAGGGUUCAUCUGAAUCUCUUUCGAUGAAAAAUUAUACUAUUUAUAAAUGACUAAAAUUAUUUUUAUGUAAAUAUUGAUAGAAAAUAAACUACAAAAUGAAAAUAAAAGAGACUCUGCAAGUGUAAAAACUUUCUUAGUAUAUUCAAUCUUCAAAAUACUCUUCAGUUUAAUUUGCAAACACCUAUCUUAUCACGUAGCUUUAGAAAUGACACUGGUUUUAAAGGCUUUGUGAACAUAUCUGCAACCUGCUCUUCACUUCUGCAAAGAUAAGACUAAUCUUUGCAUCCUUAGUUAGAUCACGUAAGAAGUGAUACUUCACAUCUAUAUGCUUAAUCCAUCCAUGUUCAACUGAAUUCUUUGAAAGAUUAAUCGCUAAAGUAUUAUCAUAAUAGAUUGGCGUCGGUCCUUCCUGCUUAAAAUGAAGCUCUUUAAGAAUGUUCCUCAGCCAAACAACUUGACAAGCGCAUGACGUUGCAGCAACAUACUCUGCCUCAGUGGUCGACAAAGUAACAAUAGGUUGCUUCUUUGAAGACUAAGAAACAACUCCAGACCCCAACAUAAAUACAUAUCCUGAUGUACUUUUUCUAUCUUCAAGAUUUCUAGCAUAGUCACUAUCAGUGUAACCAACCAAAUCUCCAGCUGCUUUCAUUUUAGAAAAAAAUUCAAAAUUAUUGGUACCAUUUAAGUACCGCAGAAUUCUCUUAGCAGCUUGUAGAUGCAUUUCUUUUGGAAACUCCAUGAACCUACUAAUGAGACUUACAACGUGCAUAACAUCAGGCCUUUUUGUUGUCAAGUACAUCAAGCUUCCCACAAUUUUCUUGUAUAAAGUGUUAUCCACUUUUAUCCCUUCAGGUUCUUUAACGAGCUUCAGACCCUUCUCCAUUGGUGUGCUUACAGUGUUGCAGUUUUUCAUCUAAAAUUUAUCCAAAAUAUCUUGCACAUUUUUUUUAGAUUAAAACUGCCAUCAACAUUGUCUUGUUGAUUUAUUUUCUGCUCAUGAACCAACAAAGAGCCCUAUAACUCGUCAAUAGAAAGAGCAUAAACAUCUUUUGAUUCUUCAAUAGAACAGACUAUAUAAUUGAACUUUGCAGUCAUCGAGUGCAGUAUUUUUUCUAUGAUGGUAACAUCCUCCAAUUUUUCUCCAUAAAUUCUCAUUAUAUUUGUGAUAGCCAAUACCUUAGAGAAAUAAUCUAUUACCGACUCACUACCUUGCAUACGUAGAGCCUCAAACUCACCAUGAAGCGCUUGAAGUUGCACUCGUUUUGCCUUUGUUGUUCCUUGAUACUUCUUCUUCAUGGAGUUCCAUAUUUGUUUAGAAGUAUCCUUGCAAAGAAUGGUUUCUAGUAUUGAGCGAUAAAUAGUUUAGAAAAGAUAAUUCUUCGCUUUGAGAUCCUUAAACUUAGACUGUCCAGCUCUGCCUUCUGUGCUUCCGAUAAGGCAUUACCAGUGAUUGGCUCUUGCACGCCAAUACUCAUAACUGGCCAAUAUUCUUUAGACCGAAGAAAGUUCUCCAUAAAUGUACUCCAAUGGUCGUAGUGACCAUUGAAACAUGGAAUAGCAGCCUGAACAAAAUUUUCAGUGGUCAUUGUUUUGUUGCUGUAAUAGCACUCUAAAAGAGAAAAAAAUAUUUUUCUAACUUGGAUACCAAAUGAUAGAAAAUAAACUGCAGCAAUGAAAAGAAAAGAGACUCUGCAAAUAUGGAAAUUUUCUUAGUAUAUUCAAUCUUCAAAAUACUCUGUUACAAGAGUUAAAUCGAUGAAACUAGUAAGCAAAAGAACACGUUUAUUCUCCUAAAAAAUCUGAAUCUAAAAAACUGACUGCACGUUAACUUAUAGCCUAAAGAUUAGUAACAACGUAUUGACUCCUAAAUAAACACAAUAGCUAAACUACUACUCCACAAAGCCAUUCACGUUGCCAACACAUAAAAUAGAUUCAAACCACCUUCGAUUAGUUUUUCUUCAAAUUUGAACCCCCUGGGUGAAAAUUCUGGAUCCGCCUUUGUUUCCAUGAAUGCAAGGUCAUGAGUGUUAAAACACUCUUUUUCAACAAAUUCUCUUAUCACAUUUACUCACCUUACAGUUUCAAAUUUCAGAUAAUCAAUAUCAAUUUUUAAAACUUAAAUUCAAUCGUAUGUUUUACUUGUAAACAUUUCCCUUUGUAAGUCUUGUUCGAUCUUUUCAGCCGGAAGACUAAGUAUCAUGUCGGUGAUACUUGGCCCGUGAGAUCCUACUCCCAUUUUAGAUUGCUAAUUUAGCUGAGCAAGAUCUUGCUACGACCAAUUAGCUUUAGCCUUCAGUCGAACUUACCUUUCGAUAUUCACCUCUAUGGGAGAUCAAGUUGAUGUGAUCACAUUUACACAUGAAAUCUAGUCGACCUCCCUGAACAUGACUACCACAAAGAUCAAGGUUCCACCCAUUAUGUGUUAAAAGACACUUUUUUCAAUAGAAUUCUCUUUUCAGAUUAACUUCAUUUAAUAAAAUUCUUUUUUCAGAUUAACUUAGAUUAAUAUCAACUUUGAAAUUCAUUUAGUUAUAACUUGUAAGUAAAAUAUUUUAUUUCAAAAGAAUUUAGUUAGUGUACGAAAGAAGUUAUAAUGUAGCUUGUUUUAGAAGCUGAUUUUUUUACUUGGAGAAAAAGAAAAAAAUCAUGGUGGCCUUUUGUUACAAGUGGCACCUUUCUGUCCAAGCAUCAUAGACACUUUUGAUCUAUAUAGCCUAUAAAUAGGCAUUCUUUGCUUCAAAAAAUGUAAGAAGGAAGGGAAAAAACAGAAAAAACUUAUUAUUAACAGUAACCAACUUUCUAUUUUCUCUUUGUUUUAAUUUCCUACUCCCUCAAUUUUCUCCUCUUUUCACCCUUUUUUAUACUUCCUCCGUUUCAUAAUAAAUAAAUUAUUUAAUUUUGACAUAGAGAUUAAGGAAAAAACAUUAAAGACAUAAAUUUAACACAACUUUUCAUUUUUACCUCAAAAAAAGAAAAAUGAUGAUCUUGUAAUACCUUUUCAAAAGUUAAUUGAUUGCCAAAUCAUAAGGGUAAAUUUGAAAAAAAAUUCAAUGAUUCACUUAUUUUGAAACACUAAUAAAUACCCCAACAAUUCACUUAUUUUGAAACAGAGGAAGUAUUAUUAUAGAAUUUAUUAAAGGGUUCUAUUAUUUAUAUUAUUUUUUAUUAAAUUUAUUGGUAUUUGUAUUAAUAAUUUUGUUGAUUCUUGUAUCCUCUAAUUAAUUAGGAAAGACUGAUUUAAUUCUGAAUAUCCUCUAAUUAAUCAGGAAAGUGAUUAUUUAAUCAUAGAAAAAUAUUUCACGCUACUGAAAUCGUUUCUUAGGACAAUGCCUAGACCGACUCGAGUAUAAUUAAUAUAAUAUCGUAGUAAUAUUUAUUUAAUAUUCAAUAUCAUUAACUUGCUAAUAAGUAAUUAUAUUUUUGUUAUAAUUAGUAUAUAAAUUAUAUUAUUAUUAUUAUAGUAGUAAUACUAUUAUAUAUUUGUUGCUAUAUUAUUAUUUUGUUAACAAUUUAAAAACAUUCUUAUUGGUAUUUUACCGUUGCAAUCUUAGAAACUAUGACAAAUAAUUCUACUCAUGGUACUUCUAGUACUGAUGCAACUCCUAAUACUCCUGUUUCGAUUGUUCAAUCAUAUGCUAAGCCAUUUUUUAAUGUUUAAAAUAUUGAAAUAUUUGCUAAUGAAAACUUUAAAAGGUGGCAAGUACGAAUUUUUUCAUUACUUGAUGUUCAUGUUGUAGCAAAUGCUUUGUCACAAACACAGCCUGAUGCAAAUGUUGAUAGCCAAAUUUUGGAAUCAUGGCAAUACGCCAA
Molecule: long non-coding RNA, 15239 nt
Filed under: Capsicum annuum
Lineage: Eukaryota; Viridiplantae; Streptophyta; Magnoliopsida; Solanales; Solanaceae
Description: long non-coding RNA (CANN_LNC005489)
Source: RNAcentral